GACGAACGCUGGCGGCGUGCUUAACACAUGCAAGUCGAACGGAAAGGCCCUGUCUUUGUGGGGUGCUCGAGUGGCGAACGGGUGAGUAACACGUGAGUAACCUGCCCUUGACUUUGGGAUAACUUCAGGAAACUGGGGCUAAUACCGGAUAGGAGCUCCUGCUGCAUGGUGGGGGUUGGAAAGUUUCGGCGGUUGGGGAUGGACUCGCGGCUUAUCAGCUUGUUGGUGGGGUAGUGGCUUACCAUGGCUUUGACGGGUAGCCGGCCUGAGAGGAGGACCGGACACAUUGGGACUGGACUGCGACCCAGCCUCGUAUCGGAGGGAACGGUGGGGAAGAUUACCCAAGGGGAGGGGGGCAACUGCAGCAACGCCGCGUGGGGGAUGACAGCCUUCGGGUAGGGAAGCGCUGUCGCCUGUGAUGAAGCGUGAGUGACGGUAAUGGGUGAAGAAGCCCCGGCUAACUACGUG
RNAcentral lists this ribosomal RNA (468 nucleotides) under uncultured bacterium. RNAcentral's name for it is "partial 16S ribosomal RNA". It matches the Rfam family "Bacterial small subunit ribosomal RNA", at positions 28 to 507 of the family's 1533-position model. The record is from RNAcentral.